GCGUAACGCGUAUGGAACCUGGCCUGUUCAGGGGGAUAGCCCGGAGAAAUCCGGAUUAAUACCCCAUAACACCUUUUGAAGCAUUUCUUAAGGUUGAAAGCUGCGGCGGAACAGGAUGGCCAUGCGUGGCAUUAGCUAGUCGGCGGGGUAACGGCCCACCGAGGCUACGAUGCCUAGGGGUUCUGAGAGGACUGACCCCCACACUGGUACUGAGACACGGACCAGACUCC
RNAcentral lists this ribosomal RNA (230 nucleotides) under uncultured bacterium. RNAcentral describes it as "partial 16S ribosomal RNA". It matches the Rfam family "Bacterial small subunit ribosomal RNA", at positions 108 to 339 of the family's 1533-position model. The record is from RNAcentral.